UUGCACUAGAUAGGAGCCACUCUCAGGUAACUGUAAUUGCGAAAAUAUGUAAAAGCCAAAGAAACAGUGGAAUUGACUAAAAAUUUACAAACAAUUUGGAAGUAAGCCUUUCUUGGCAAAGAAUUUGAGAAAUCAAAUGCGAAAAAGACAGUUUGGUUGCGUUGCGUUUGACUAGAGACUGCGGAGACACGAGAGUUUCACAUGGUAUCGUGAAGAUGAUUGGACCAAAAUUGCACAAUGCUUUCCUUACGUAAGUAGUUUUCUAUAUCAUUUGUGAAACAACGCACAGUUGUCAUUCUAUCUCAUCACCUCGGGGGGAGUUUUACAGGUCGACUUUCAACUCGUAAUAUGCGUUGGAGCAAUCCUAUUCCGCUCAGUGAUUACGAUGACGCUCCACGCGAGCAAGGAGUCUACGAAAUAGGCUUUGGAAAUGCCUCCUUUGAUGCAAAGUACCUUGGAAGAGCAAUGGGUGGUUCGUCUACAAUAAGAAGUAGACUGAGUGCACAUUACAAUUUGAAGGGAAACAAGCACAUCAAUCAAGGCAAUAGAAAGGGCCUGACAGUUCGAUGGAUUAGAGUGUCUCAUCCGGAUUGCACAGAAGCCAGAUUGCUGAAAAAGAGAGACUAUCCGUGGAAUGAAAGGAUGGAGCAUGACUGCGACUCAGACUAGAAAAUUGAGCACCGCUUCAUAGACUUGGAGUUCUUAUGGUAACUCAAUUGUGGACGUACUACUUUUAGCUUUGUGACACAAUGCAUGGUUUUGCUGGCAUCACUGUUUCUUAGGCGUUGAGUUUGCUGCAAUCAUAUUAUUCGGUUUGACUGCGAAGUUAAAUAAUAGAAUUGCAAGUGCUAAUUA
Long non-coding RNA from Corticium candelabrum, 855 nucleotides. RefSeq lists it as uncharacterized. Lineage: Eukaryota; Metazoa; Porifera; Homoscleromorpha; Homosclerophorida; Plakinidae. The transcript is spliced from 3 exons. The record is from RefSeq and is a predicted model, not a curated record.